GCUGAGGUGGUUCACUGGUAGAUUUCUUGCCUUCCAGGCAGGAGACCCAGUUUCAAUUCCUGGCCAGUGUA
Molecule: transfer RNA, 71 nt
Filed under: Loxodonta africana (African savanna elephant)
Lineage: Eukaryota; Metazoa; Chordata; Mammalia; Proboscidea; Elephantidae
Rfam family: tRNA
About the family: Transfer RNA (tRNA) molecules are approximately 80 nucleotides in length. Their secondary structure includes four short double-helical elements and three loops (D, anti-codon, and T loops).
Source: Rfam by way of RNAcentral